Notothenia coriiceps (black rockcod) is the source of this 594-nucleotide long non-coding RNA. RefSeq lists it as uncharacterized. NCBI's taxonomy places the organism in Eukaryota, Metazoa, Chordata, Actinopteri, Perciformes, Nototheniidae. The transcript has 3 exons. The record is from RefSeq and is a predicted model, not a curated record.
UGUAAUGCGCGUCUUAUAACAAUAGCACAGUUUUCACUGGCCCAAAACAAAUCGUGCCAAUUUGACCCCCUCCCUAACUAGAACAGUUUUUUUUACUGCUGGUCAAAAAAGUCAUACUAGUAAUUUAUCAUGUCAAUCAAAGCUCUCAAUGACACUCACCACUUUCACCUUUCUGUUGGUCAUCUUAUUUCUACAGUGAGUUUGGAUCUAAGAUCGUGACGUUGAAGCCAGUGGUGAAGGUUUUAUCCAAACAGUUUGAGUCCAGAGAGAAGGCGGUGAGAGAUGAAGUCAAGCUGCUCUCUGUUGAGAUCUACAAAUGGAUCAGAGAUGCUCUAAGACCUCCACUGCAAAAUAUUAACUCAGUUCAGCUGAAGGAGCUGGAGGAAGAGUGGGCGAAGCUGCCUUCAUCUCCUCCCAAGCAGACCAGGUUCCUGCGCUCACAGCAGGACCUGAAGGCAAAGUUUGAACAGCACCAAGCCCAAGGGGAACCGUCUGAUGGAGAGGAUGAGGCGGACACGGUAGCAGCAGUGGAUCCUUACGAACUGCUGGAAGCCGUGGACAUUUUGUCAAAGAUGCCCAAAGACUUUUAUGCCA